RNAcentral lists this ribosomal RNA (265 nucleotides) under uncultured bacterium. Its description in RNAcentral is "partial 16S ribosomal RNA". It matches the Rfam family "Bacterial small subunit ribosomal RNA", at positions 88 to 354 of the family's 1533-position model. The record is from RNAcentral.
CCGGCGACCGGCGCACGGGUGAGUAACACGUAUGCAACCUGCCCUCUUCAGGGGGACAACCUUCCGAAAGGGAGGCUAAUCCCGCGUAUAUCGGUUUCGGGCAUCCGAGAUCGAGGAAAGAUUCAUCGGAAGAGGAUGGGCAUGCGGCGCAUUAGCUAGACGGCGGGGUAACGGCCCACCGUGGCGACGAUGCGUAGGGGUUCUGAGAGGAAGGUCCCCCACACUGGUACUGAGACACAGACCAGACUCCUACGGGAGGCAGCAG